Molecule: transfer RNA, 67 nt
Filed under: Cerogria popularis
Lineage: Eukaryota; Metazoa; Arthropoda; Insecta; Coleoptera; Tenebrionidae
Description: tRNA-Ser
Source: RNAcentral
AACUGGGGAACUUGAAUAAGUAUAUAUUUUGAAAAUAUAAUAAAGAAAUUGAAAUUUCUUCUGGUUU